GGAGCUAAUACCGGAUAAUAUUUUGUAACCGCAUGGUUCAAAAGUGAAAGACGGUCUUGCUGUCACUUAUAGAUGGAUCCGCGCUGCAUUAGCUAGUUGGUAAGGUAACGGCUUACCAAGGCAACGAUGCAUAGCCGACCUGAGAGGGUGAUCGGCCACACUGGAACUGAGACACGGUCCAG
Molecule: ribosomal RNA, 182 nt
Filed under: uncultured Staphylococcus sp.
Lineage: Bacteria; Bacillati; Bacillota; Bacilli; Caryophanales; Staphylococcaceae
Description: partial 16S ribosomal RNA
Rfam family: Bacterial small subunit ribosomal RNA
Source: RNAcentral